This 253-nucleotide ribosomal RNA is filed under the name uncultured bacterium. RNAcentral describes it as "partial 16S ribosomal RNA". It matches the Rfam family "Bacterial small subunit ribosomal RNA", at positions 524 to 776 of the family's 1533-position model. The record is from RNAcentral.
UACGAAGGGGGCUAGCAUUGUUCGGAAUUACUGGGCGUAAAGCGCACGUAGGCGGAUAUUUAAGUCAGGGGUGAAAUCCCAGAGCUCAACUCUGGAACUGCCUUUGAUACUGGGUAUCUUGAGUAUGGAAGAGGUGAGUGGAAUUCCGAGUGUAGAGGUGAAAUUCGUAGAUAUUCGGAGGAACACCAGUGGCGAAGGCGGCUCACUGGUCCAUUACUGACGCUGAGGUGCGAAAGCGUGGGGAGCAAACAGG